AUGAAAAGAGGAGGAUGGUCUAACCCCCCGUCGGGAUUUGUUAAACUUAACGUUGAUGCUUCUUUUGACCACGACCUUCUCAGGGGUACGACCGGGGUUGUCUUAAGAGAUGACAAAGGUAGGUUCAUCGGUGGGGGAAAUGGUAAGAUUGACUGGUGUACAGAUGUGUUGAUGGCUGAAGCUUUGGCGUUAAAAUUUGGCCUAUCGCUUGCACAAAGGACGGGUUGUAAUCGCAUAAUUAUUAACUCGGAUAAUAUGGAGGUGAUCGAGACCAUGAACGAAGGAGGACGAUCGUCAGGGGCAGCAACUGCAAUUUUUGAUGACUGUUUUCACUUAGCUUGCGAUUUUUCUAUUUCUAGAUUUGAGCAUUGUAAUAGAGAAGCAAAUAAAGUUGCUCAUGAACUUGCCAAGUUGGCUAGAUUUUCAUUCAUUUCUGAUUGGUUUGAGGAACCACGUAAUGCAAUUGUACCAAUUCUCAUAAACGGUGUAAUGAUUAUUUCUAAUGAAUAA
This 510-nucleotide ribosomal RNA is filed under the name Triticum aestivum (bread wheat). RNAcentral describes it as "partial small subunit ribosomal RNA". The record is from RNAcentral. Lineage: Eukaryota; Viridiplantae; Streptophyta; Magnoliopsida; Poales; Poaceae.